UUGCUUUGGCAGCACAUAUACUAAAAUUGGAACAAUACAAAGAAGAUUAGCAUGGCCCCUGCACAAGGAUGACACGCAAAUUUGUGAAGCGUUCCAUAUUUUU
Molecule: small nuclear RNA, 103 nt
Filed under: Catagonus wagneri (Chacoan peccary)
Lineage: Eukaryota; Metazoa; Chordata; Mammalia; Artiodactyla; Tayassuidae
Source: RNAcentral